GCACCACAGCAACAGCCAUGCUGGGGGAAGGGCAGCACCAGGACCUUUUGCUGCCUCUUGUCUAAAGGCCAGUAGACAGCGUGGCCCUCACUGUUAAGACCCUGCAACACCGAGAUCCCCUAGCCAGAGAAUGAUGGAGCUCACGGAUUCGGAGCUCUGCAACAUCUGCUGGAGACCGCAGCAUACUUUCUCUGAAGAAGUAGAACAGUUGUGCAGAACCAGAGCUCACCUAUGCCAUCCAGACCUGGAGUGAGUUAGCAAGGCUGAGACGAGCUCCACGUAUCUGGUAGAAGUGGGUGGAUAAGGAGGAAACCAGUCUAAGUGGGUGCUGCCACACCCUCCAUUCAACCAACAGCCCAAGAUUGUACUUCAUGGAAUGUUCAAAAACAGUUCUAUCAUUUAAAGUUUAAGUUUUAUCUAUAUUACCACACUAUCAGGAACCAGGAGACACUGAAAGACAGGAGAGAAUGACUUUAAGAAUUGGAAGAUGGAGAGAAGCACCAUGAAAUGCUUCUGUCCAGAUAGGAUGUGACAGGCCAAUUGCAAUGAGGAGCUCACAACAGCUGGAAACAACUGCCCAGCCUGGAAAUCAACAUCCCAUCAUGAAGAAAAAAAGAUGCCCAUGAGACCUCACUCACCUUAACAGUAUUUUACUAUUAGCUUAUUUUUUUCCAAAUAGGACCCUCACUUUCCUGAAAUAGAAGUCAAGAAACUGACAUGUUCAAGCCUUUGGCUGGCGAUAUAUGACCCAGCUUAUGUUAAGGAGACACCUGUGUGAUCUUGAAUUGGAAAGAGAGCAAGGAGAAACAGGUACCACACACCCAGAUUCAAUCUGACAAAGAAGGUGGCAGUGAAUAAAAUGUCAUUGGUCCCUGUU
Molecule: small RNA, 877 nt
Filed under: Rattus norvegicus (Norway rat)
Lineage: Eukaryota; Metazoa; Chordata; Mammalia; Rodentia; Muridae
Description: uncharacterized LOC102549643
Source: RNAcentral